Molecule: ribosomal RNA, 294 nt
Filed under: Klebsiella quasipneumoniae subsp. similipneumoniae
Lineage: Bacteria; Pseudomonadati; Pseudomonadota; Gammaproteobacteria; Enterobacterales; Enterobacteriaceae
Description: partial 16S ribosomal RNA
Rfam family: Bacterial small subunit ribosomal RNA
Source: RNAcentral
CGGUAGCUAAUACCGCAUAACGUCGCAAGACCAAAGUGGGGGACCUUCGGGCCUCAUGCCAUCAGAUGUGCCCAGAUGGGAUUAGCUAGUAGGUGGGGUAACGGCUCACCUAGGCGACGAUCCCUAGCUGGUCUGAGAGGAUGAUCAGCCACACUGGAACUGAGACACGGUCCAGACUCCUACGGGAGGCAGCAGUGGGGAAUAUUGCACAAUGGGCGCAAGCCUGAUGCAGCCAUGCCGCGUGUAUGAAGAAGGCCUUCGGGUUGUAAAGUACUUUCAGCGGGGAGGAAGGCG